GGGUUGUGAGGUUAAGCGACUAAGCGUACACGGUGGAUGCCCUGGCAGUCAGAGGCGAUGAAGGACGUGCUAAUCUGCGAAAAGCGUCGGUAAGGUGAUAUGAACCGUUACAGCCGGCGAUGUCCGAAUGGGGAAACCCAGUGCAAUUCGUUGCACUAUCGUUAACUGAAUACAUAGGUUAACGAGGCGAACCGGGGGAACUGAAACAUCUAAGUACCCCGAGGAAAAGAAAUCAACCGAGAUUCCCCCAGUAGCGGCGAGCGAACGGGGAGCAGCCCAGAGUCUGAAUCAGCUUGUGUGUUAGUGGAACGGUCUGGAAAGUCCGACGGUACAGGGUGAUAGUCCCGUACACCAAAAUGCACAGGUUGUGAACUCGAAGAGUAGGGCGGGACACGUGGUAUCCUGUCUGAAUAUGGGGGACCAUCCUCCAAGGCUAAAUACUCCUGACUGACCGAUAGUGAACCAGUACCGUGAGGGAAAGGCGAAAAGAACCCCGGCGAGGGGAGUGAAAAAGAACCUGAAACCGUGUACGUACAAGCAGUGGGAGCACCUUCGGGUGUGACUGCGUACCUUUUGUAUAAUGGGUCAGCGACUUAUAUUCUGUAGCAAGGUUAACCGUAUAGGGGAGCCGCAGGGAAACCGAGUCUUAACUGGGCGUUAAGUUGCAGGGUAUAGACCCGAAACCCGGUGAUCUAGCCAUGGGCAGGUUGAAGGUUGGGUAACACUAACUGGAGGACCGAACCGACUAAUGUUGAAAAAUUAGCGGAUGACUUGUGGCUGGGGGUGAAAGGCCAAUCAAACCGGGAGAUAGCUGGUUCUCCCCGAAAGCUAUUUAGGUAGCGCCUCGUGAAUUCAUCUUCGGGGGUAGAGCACUGUUUCGGCUAGGGGGUCAUCCCGACUUACCAACCCGAUGCAAACUACGAAUACCGAAGAAUGUUAUCACGGGAGACACACGGCGGGUGCUAACGUCCGUCGUGAAGAGGGAAACAACCCAGACCGCCAGCUAAGGUCCCAAAGUCACAGUUAAGUGGGAAACGAUGUGGGAAGGCACAGACAGCCAGGAUGUUGGCUUAGAAGCAGCCAUCAUUUAAAGAAAGCGUAAUAGCUCACUGGUCGAGUCGGCCUGCGCGGAAGAUGUAACGGGGCUAAACUGUGCACCGAAGCUGCGGCAGCGACACUUAGGUGUUGUUGGGUAGGGGAGCGUUCUGUAAGCCUGCGAAGGUGGCCUGUGAGGGUUGCUGGAGGUAUCAGAAGUGCGAAUGCUGACAUAAGUAACGAUAAUGCGGGUGAAAAGCCCGCACGCCGGAAGACCAAGGGUUCCUGUCCAACGUUAAUCGGGGCAGGGUGAGUCGACCCCUAAGGCGAGGCCGAAAGGCGUAGUCGAUGGGAAACAGGUUAAUAUUCCUGUACUUGGUGUUACUGCGAAGGGGGGACGGAGAAGGCUAUGUUAGCCGGGCGACGGUUGUCCCGGUUUAAGCAUGUAGGCGGAGGUUCCAGGUAAAUCCGGUACCUUUUAACGCUGAGGUGUGAUGACGAGGCACUACGGUGCUGAAGUAACAAAUGCCCUGCUUCCAGGAAAAGCCUCUAAGCAUCAGGUAACAUUGAAUCGUACCCCAAACCGACACAGGUGGUCAGGUAGAGAAUACCAAGGCGCUUGAGAGAACUCGGGUGAAGGAACUAGGCAAAAUGGUGCCGUAACUUCGGGAGAAGGCACGCUGAUAUGUAGGUGAAGCCCCUGCGGGUGGAGCUGAAAUCAGUCGAAGAUACCAGCUGGCUGCAACUGUUUAUUAAAAACACAGCACUGUGCAAACACGAAAGUGGACGUAUACGGUGUGACGCCUGCCCGGUGCCGGAAGGUUAAUUGAUGGGGUUAUCCGUAAGGAGAAGCUCUUGAUCGAAGCCCCGGUAAACGGCGGCCGUAACUAUAACGGUCCUAAGGUAGCGAAAUUCCUUGUCGGGUAAGUUCCGACCUGCACGAAUGGCGUAAUGAUGGCCAGGCUGUCUCCACCCGAGACUCAGUGAAAUUGAACUCGCUGUGAAGAUGCAGUGUACCCGCGGCAAGACGGAAAGACCCCGUGAACCUUUACUAUAGCUUGACACUGAACAUUGAGCCUUGAUGUGUAGGAUAGGUGGGAGGCUUUGAAGCGUGGACGCCAGUCUGCGUGGAGCCAACCUUGAAAUACCACCCUUUAAUGUUUGAUGUUCUAACGUUGGCCCCUGACCGGGGUUGCGGACAGUGUCUGGUGGGUAGUUUGACUGGGGCGGUCUCCUCCCAAAGAGUAACGGAGGAGCACGAAGGUUAGCUAAUCCUGGUCGGACAUCAGGAGGUUAGUGCAAUGGCAUAAGCUAGCUUGACUGCGAGCGUGACGGCGCGAGCAGGUGCGAAAGCAGGUCAUAGUGAUCCGGUGGUUCUGAAUGGAAGGGCCAUCGCUCAACGGAUAAAAGGUACUCCGGGGAUAACAGGCUGAUACCGCCCAAGAGUUCAUAUCGACGGCGGUGUUUGGCACCUCGAUGUCGGCUCAUCACAUCCUGGGGCUGAAGUAGGUCCCAAGGGUAUGGCUGUUCGCCAUUUAAAGUGGUACGCGAGCUGGGUUUAGAACGUCGUGAGACAGUUCGGUCCCUAUCUGCCGUGGGCGCUGGAGAAUUGAGGGGGGCUGCUCCUAGUACGAGAGGACCGGAGUGGACGCAUCACUGGUGUUCGGGUUGUCAUGCCAAUGGCAUUGCCCGGUAGCUAAAUGCGGAAGAGAUAAGUGCUGAAAGCAUCUAAGCACGAAACUUGCCCCGAGAUGAGUUCUCCCUGAGACUUUAAGUCUCCUGAAGGAACGUUAAAGACGAUGACGUUGAUAGGUCGGGUGUGUAAGCGUAGCGAUACGUUGAGCUAACCGAUACUAAUGAACCGUGAGGCUUAACCUUACAACGCCGAAGGUGUUU
RNAcentral lists this ribosomal RNA (2931 nucleotides) under Klebsiella aerogenes. RNAcentral's name for it is "bacterial LSU rRNA". It matches the Rfam family "Bacterial large subunit ribosomal RNA". The record is from RNAcentral. Lineage: Bacteria; Pseudomonadati; Pseudomonadota; Gammaproteobacteria; Enterobacterales; Enterobacteriaceae.